UACGAGGGGGGCGAGCGUUGUUCGGAAUUAUUGGGCGUAAAGGGUGCGUAGGCGGUUUGGUAAGUCUUAUGUGAAAUCUACAGGCUCAACUUGUAGUCUGCAUGAGAAACUGCCGGGCUUGAGUAUGGGAGAGGUGAGUGGAAUUCCUGGUGUAGCGGUGAAAUGCGUAGAUAUCAGGAGGAACACCGGUGGUGUAGACGGCUUUCUGGACCGUAACUGACGCUGAGACACGAAAGCGUGGGUAGCAAACAGG
This 253-nucleotide ribosomal RNA is filed under the name uncultured bacterium. Its description in RNAcentral is "partial 16S ribosomal RNA". It matches the Rfam family "Bacterial small subunit ribosomal RNA", at positions 524 to 776 of the family's 1533-position model. The record is from RNAcentral.